RNAcentral lists this ribosomal RNA (432 nucleotides) under uncultured bacterium. RNAcentral describes it as "partial 16S ribosomal RNA". It matches the Rfam family "Bacterial small subunit ribosomal RNA", at positions 29 to 507 of the family's 1533-position model. The record is from RNAcentral.
AACGAACGCUGGCGGCAUGCCUACACAUGCAAGUCGAACGAGACCCUCGGGUCUAGUGGCGCACGGGUGCGUAACGCGUGGGAACCUGCCCUUAGGUUCGGAAUAACUCCCCGAAAGGGGUGCUAAUACCGGAUAAUGUCUUCGGACCAAAGAUUUAUCGCCUUUGGAUGGGCCCGCGUUGGAUUAGCUAGUUGGUAGGGUAAAAGCCUACCAAGGCGACGAUCCAUAGCUGGUCUGAGAGGAUGAUCAGCCACACUGGGACUGAGACACGGCCCAGACUCCUACGGGAGGCAGCAGUGGGGAAUAUUGGACAAUGGGCGAAAGCCUGAUCCAGCAAUGCCGCGUGAGUGAUGAAGGCCUUAGGGUUGUAAAGCUCUUUUACCCGGGAUGAUAAUGACAGUACCGGGAGAAUAGGCUCCGGCUAACUCCGUG